AUUGAACGCUGGCGGCAGGCCUAACACAUGCAAGUCGAGCGGUAGAGAGAAGCUUGCUUCUCUUGAGAGCGGCGGACGGGUGAGUAAUGCCUAGGAAUCUGCCUGGUAGUGGGGGAUAACGUUCGGAAACGGACGCUAAUACCGCAUACGUCCUACGGGAGAAAGCAGGGGACCUUCGGGCCUUGCGCUAUCAGAUGAGCCUAGGUCGGAUUAGCUAGUUGGUGAGGUAAUGGCUCACCAAGGCGACGAUCCGUAACUGGUCUGAGAGGAUGAUCAGUCACACUGGAACUGAGACACGGUCCAGACUCCUACGGGAGGCAGCAGUGGGGAAUAUUGGACAAUGGGCGAAAGCCUGAUCCAGCCAUGCCGCGUGUGUGAAGAAGGUCUUCGGAUUGUAAAGCACUUUAAGUUGGGAGGAAGGGCAGUUACCUAAUACGUGAUUGUUUUGACGUUACCGACAGAAUAAGCACCGGCUAACUUCGUGCCAGCAGCCGCGGUAAUACGAAGGGUGCAAGCGUUAAUCGGAAUUACUGGGCGUAAAGCGCGCGUAGGUGGUUCAGCAAGUUGGAUGUGAAAUCCCCGGGCUCAACCUGGGAACUGCAUCCAAAACUACUGAGCUAGAGUACGGUAGAGGGUGGUGGAAUUUCCUGUGUAGCGGUGAAAUGCGUAGAUAUAGGAAGGAACACCAGUGGCGAAGGCGACCACCUGGACUGAUACUGACACUGAGGUGCGAAAGCGUGGAGAGCAAACAGGAUUAGAUACCCUGGUAGUCCACGCCGUAAACGAUGUCGACUAGCCGUUGGGAUCCUUGAGAUCUUAGUGGCGCAGCUAACGCGAUAAGUCGACCGCCUGGGGAGUACGGCCGCAAGGUUAAAACUCAAAUGAAUUGACGGGGGCCCGCACAAGCGGUGGAGCAUGUGGUUUAAUUCGAAGCAACGCGAAGAACCUUACCUGGCCUUGACAUGCUGAGAACUUUCCAGAGAUGGAUUGGUGCCUUCGGGAACUCAGACACAGGUGCUGCAUGGCUGUCGUCAGCUCGUGUCGUGAGAUGUUGGGUUAAGUCCCGUAACGAGCGCAACCCUUGUCCUUAGUUACCAGCACCUCGGGUGGGCACUCUAAGGAGACUGCCGGUGACAAACCGGAGGAAGGUGGGGAUGACGUCAAGUCAUCAUGGCCCUUACGGCCAGGGCUACACACGUGCUACAAUGGUCGGUACAAAGGGUUGCCAAGCCGCGAGGUGGAGCUAAUCCCAUAAAACCGAUCGUAGUCCGGAUCGCAGUCUGCAACUCGACUGCGUGAAGUCGGAAUCGCUAGUAAUCGUGAAUCAGAAUGUCACGGUGAAUACGUUCCCGGGCCUUGUACACACCGCCCGUCACACCAUGGGAGUGGGUUGCUCCAGAAGUAGCUAGUCUAACCGCAAGGGGGACGGUUACCACGGAGUGAUUCAUGACUGGGGUG
RNAcentral lists this ribosomal RNA (1458 nucleotides) under uncultured Pseudomonas sp. RNAcentral's name for it is "bacterial SSU rRNA". It matches the Rfam family "Bacterial small subunit ribosomal RNA". The record is from RNAcentral. Lineage: Bacteria; Pseudomonadati; Pseudomonadota; Gammaproteobacteria; Pseudomonadales; Pseudomonadaceae.